RNAcentral lists this ribosomal RNA (370 nucleotides) under Klebsiella sp. 90R. RNAcentral describes it as "bacterial SSU rRNA". It matches the Rfam family "Bacterial small subunit ribosomal RNA", at positions 973 to 1343 of the family's 1533-position model. Lineage: Bacteria; Pseudomonadati; Pseudomonadota; Gammaproteobacteria; Enterobacterales; Enterobacteriaceae. The record is from RNAcentral.
ACCUGGUCUUGACAUCCACAGAACUUUCCAGAGAUGGAUUGGUGCCUUCGGGAACUGUGAGACAGGUGCUGCAUGGCUGUCGUCAGCUCGUGUUGUGAAAUGUUGGGUUAAGUCCCGCAACGAGCGCAACCCUUAUCCUUUGUUGCCAGCGGUUAGGCCGGGAACUCAAAGGAGACUGCCAGUGAUAAACUGGAGGAAGGUGGGGAUGACGUCAAGUCAUCAUGGCCCUUACGACCAGGGCUACACACGUGCUACAAUGGCAUAUACAAAGAGAAGCGACCUCGCGAGAGCAAGCGGACCUCAUAAAGUUUGUCGUAGUCCGGAUUGGAGUCUGCAACUCGACUCCAUGAAGUCGGAAUCGCUAGUAAUC